RNAcentral lists this transfer RNA (72 nucleotides) under Planctomycetota bacterium. RNAcentral's name for it is "tRNA-Thr". It matches the Rfam family "tRNA". Rfam says of the family: Transfer RNA (tRNA) molecules are approximately 80 nucleotides in length. Their secondary structure includes four short double-helical elements and three loops (D, anti-codon, and T loops). Further hydrogen bonds mediate the characteristic L-shaped molecular structure. tRNAs have two regions of fundamental functional importance: the anti-codon, which is responsible for specific mRNA codon recognition, and the 3' end, to which the tRNAs corresponding amino acid is attached (by aminoacyl-tRNA synthetases). tRNAs cope with the degeneracy of the genetic code in two manners: having more than one tRNA (with a specific anti-codon) for a particular amino acid; and 'wobble' base-pairing, i.e. permitting non-standard base-pairing at the 3rd anti-codon position. Lineage: Bacteria; Pseudomonadati; Planctomycetota. The record is from RNAcentral. RNAcentral also lists the same sequence under 2 other names.
GCUGGCAUAGCUCAGUGGUAGAGCGCCACCUUGGUAAGGUGGAGGUCCAGGGUUCAAUCCCCUGUGCCAGCU